RNAcentral lists this ribosomal RNA (628 nucleotides) under uncultured eukaryote. Its description in RNAcentral is "SSU rRNA". It matches the Rfam family "Eukaryotic small subunit ribosomal RNA", at positions 610 to 1317 of the family's 1831-position model. The record is from RNAcentral.
UUGUUGCAGUUAAAAAGCUCGUAGUUGAUAUUCGGGUAAAGAAGCUUCUUUAUUGAAGUUUUCUGAGCCUAGGUCUGUACUUGUACAGACCAGUUACUUUGAGAAAAUUAGAGCGCUUAAAGCAGUCAUUGAAUACGUUAGCAUGGAAUAACAGAAGGACGACAUUUCUUUUGUGGGAAUAUCGUAAUUGAUUAACAGGGACAGUCGGGGGCAUCAGUAUUCAGGAGCUAGAGGUGAAAUUCUUGGAUUUCCUGAAGACUAACUAAUGCGAAAGCAUUUGCCAAGGAUGUCUUCAUUAAUCAAGAACGAAAGUUAGGGGAUCGAAGACGAUCAGAUACCGUCGUAGUCUUAACAGUAAACUAUGCCGAUAGAGUGGAGGAUGGACUAUCAAAUCUAUUCUCCGCUCAAGCGAAAGCAGUUGGUUCUGGGGGGAGUAUGGUCGCAAGGCUGAAACUUAAAGGAAUUGACGGAAGGGCACCACCAGGAGUGGAGCCUGCGGCUUAAUUUGACUCAACACGGGGAAACUCACCAGGUCCAGACACAAUGAGGAUUGACAGAUUGAGAGCUCUUUCAUGAUUUUGUGGGUGGUGGUGCAUGGCCGUUCUUAGUUGGUGGAGUGAUUUGUCUG